Molecule: ribosomal RNA, 451 nt
Filed under: uncultured organism
Description: partial 16S ribosomal RNA
Rfam family: Bacterial small subunit ribosomal RNA
Source: RNAcentral
GUACACUCCUGCGGGAGGCAGCAGUGGGGAAUAUUGGACAAUGGGCGCAAGCCUGAUCCAGCCAUGCCGCGUGAGUGAUGAAGGCCCUAGGGUUGUAAAGCUCUUUCACCGGUGAAGAUAAUGACGGUAACCGGAGAAGAAGCCCCGGCUAACUUCGUGCCAGCAGCCGCGGUAAUACGAAGGGGGCUAGCGUUGUUCGGAUUUACUGGGCGUAAAGCGCACGUAGGCGGACUAUUAAGUCAGGGGUGAAAUCCCGGGGCUCAACCCCGGAACUGCCUUUGAUACUGGUAGUCUUGAGUUCGAGAGGGGUGAGUGGAAUUCCGAGUGUAGAGGUGAAAUUCGUAGAUAUUCGGAGGAACACCAGUGGCGAAGGCGGCUCACUGGCUCGAUACUGACGCUGAGGUGCGAAAGCGUGGGGAGCAAACAGGAUUAGAAACCCCAGUAGUCCCAU